UACGUAGGGGGCAAGCGUUGUCCGGAAUCAUUGGGCGUAAAGCGCGCGUAGGCGGCCCUGUAAGUCCGUUGUGAAAGUCGAAGGCUCAACCUUCGAAAGCCGAUGGAUACUGCAGGGCUAGAGUCCGGAAGAGGCGAGUGGAAUUCCUGGUGUAGCGGUGGAACGCGCAGAUAUCAGGAGGAACACCGAUGGCGAAGGCAGGUCUCUGGGCAUUAACUGAUGCUGAGGAGCGAAAGCAUGGGGAGCGAACAGG
RNAcentral lists this ribosomal RNA (253 nucleotides) under uncultured bacterium. Its description in RNAcentral is "partial 16S ribosomal RNA". It matches the Rfam family "Bacterial small subunit ribosomal RNA", at positions 524 to 776 of the family's 1533-position model. The record is from RNAcentral.